Molecule: unclassified non-coding RNA, 375 nt
Filed under: uncultured fungus
Lineage: Eukaryota; Fungi
Description: partial contains small subunit ribosomal RNA, internal transcribed spacer 1, and 5.8S ribosomal RNA
Rfam family: Eukaryotic small subunit ribosomal RNA (bases 1-73)
Source: RNAcentral
ACAAACUUGGUCAUUUAGAGGAAGUAAAAGUCGUAACAAGGUUUCCGUAGGUGAACCUGCGGAAGGAUCAUUAAAAAACUUGCCCGAGACACUUCUCGUCCAAGGGCCCCACACUGUGUGCACUGUUAUCGUUCUCUGGCAGGGGCUUGGUUCUUUUUCGAAUCCAACUUCUCUUUCGGCUCCAUCUUCUUUGUGUCUCUCUCGGGGGAAAAAAGGGACAGCCGAUCAUUGGAAGCAGUUUACCCUGCCAAGUAACACCUAAACACGCUUUUUUGUUUGCCUGAAACAUUGUUAUUUUGCGAUUAUAUACGCAUAAUCCAAAACAUAACUUUCAACAACGGAUCUCUUGGCUCUCGCAUCGAUGAAGAACGCAGC